This 12085-nucleotide long non-coding RNA is filed under the name Zea mays. RNAcentral describes it as "long non-coding RNA (ZMAY_LNC001063)". Lineage: Eukaryota; Viridiplantae; Streptophyta; Magnoliopsida; Poales; Poaceae. The record is from RNAcentral.
GGGGAUCUACAUGUACCCGGUGUGCAACGAGAGGUGAGAGCUUUGGCACAUCUCGCAUCCGUGGAGAAGGCUGUAGAACACCGGCUGGAGGGCACGCAUUAUCCCACUGUGCAGAUGGGCUUCCACUACUGAAUGUCGGUGAGCCACCAGACGGAUGGCGUAGAGGGACAGCAAUCUCUUCCAAUGCCAGAUCCCAGAGAAGCAGUUGGGUAUCCUAAGUGCAAGCAAAGUGAAAAGGUAUCAUUUGUAGUAGUAUUAAUUCUGUUCAACAAUCAAUUCCAGAAAAGGCAAUAGCACAUCCCAUGUUGAAGAAACGAUCAUAAAAUAUCAAGUUAUACCACAAAUUAAUUAAUUAAUUAAGAAAAAAUAGUUUGAACCCCAAUUUAACCAAGCGACCAAAAAGACAGCCGGAGCAUCAUCCUCUCUUUCUAGCAGCAAGUGCAACACAAACUGCUAAGAGUCCAACAACUAGCAAGAAUAUAAAGUUCUAGAUACAUGUAGCAUUUUAAGCUCUUCUGUCUUCUACUCUUCUCGGUAUGCAGAAGCUCAGAAAGUAAAAGAACAAUUGGUGACUAGAGCUUUUGUCAUGAUUCUGAGAUACUAUAGUAAAAACCACCAUAAAAAUUCGAGAUUAAAAAAAAUCUUAUAUCAACUUCUAGGUACCUGUCCAAUUGACCCAAAGCGAUACAUGACAUUUUCUUCCGUUUCAUCAGAAUUUGGUGGGGACCAAUACGGAUCAAAAGAAACUGCACUAACCUGUAUAAUUGCAAAUUAAUUCGACUCAAAAUGGAGGUUUCAAUUAAAAAUGCUAUGUGAUAAAAGCAAAGACAAUUGUAACGAUAAUGUCACCCAUGAAUUAUGCCCUUCACCCCAUGCAACUAUCUUUCUAUCAUCCAUGCUCCAUACUUGCACAAGAUCAUCUUCACCACCUGAUAACAAAUAUUUGCCAUCCGCACUACAGAACAUCACAACGAACUAAUUAGCACCUUCCAGAAUCUAAUUCACAGAAGUGUAGAGAGAAUAAAACAAGAUUCAAACAUGCAAUGGUUGUAUGCAUAAAUUAGGCAAUCCAUUCGGUGUUGUUAUUAAGUCCUGUUUCCUAAGCAUGUCCUGUUUCCUAAGCAUUCUCCUAGUUACUUGUGCUAGUUAAUUAUAGUCAUUAAAGACCUUGAGCAGCUCAACAGGUGUGUGCGGCUGCCAAGGCUCCUAUCAGAUUAGCUAAGCUCUAAUGAGCUGUUAUGUAAUCAAUGUGACUCAUCUUUCUAUAUAAUCAAGCAAUGAUAGCUGAGGUUAGUAGUCCCGGCAAAACACUCUGUCUACCUCUAACAUUUGGUAUCAGAGCUUAGGUUAGACACCUGAGAGCCUCAAGGCCGACUCCUCUCUUCUCUACUCAUGUCGACCUCUGUUGAGCGCGCUGCCAGGCUCAAGGCCAAGGGAACCAGCGAAGGAGAGCUGGGCGACUUCUCCAGCCGGGCUGCAUGUCUGAAGGCUGCAGAGGAAGCAGCGGUGCUGGCAGUCCAGGCAGCAAAGCAGGCAGCGGCUGCAGCAGAGGCGGCGGCAAGGACGGCGCAGGAGCUGCGGGCUGAAAUCGCCGCCGAGAAGGGAGAAGAUGAGGAGGUCGAGGAAGAGGAAGAGGAGAUGGAGAAGAAUCGGAGGCCGUGGACUCCUCCGCGAGAUCGGAGGCGUUCGCAGUCACCACUGCGGGACCGGAGGCGCUGCCGCGGCGGUGGUCGCUACGAGUCGCCGCAAGGAAGGGUGGUGUACCGCGACUCCGGCAGCGGCACGGCGUGGCCGAUGCUGGACAAGACGAAUUACUACGAGUGGAGCCAGACUAUGAAGCUGAGGAUGCAGGCGCGCGAUCUCUGGGACGCCAUUGAAGGCGGUCCUGUCCAGUUCCGCGAUGACAGACGCGCACUGGAGGUGAUCGUCGGGGCUGUACCCAAGGAGAUGGGUCUCCCACUGCUCGACAAGGCUACGGCGAAGGAGGCGUGGGACGCCAUCGCUGCGACCCGCAUCGGCGUGGACAGAGUCCGUCGAGCAACGCUGCAGCGCCUACGCUGUGAUUGGGAGAACAUCAGUGUCAAUCCUGGUGAGCAAGUGGAUGACUUUGUUGUGCGGUUGUCAACUCUGCACCAGCAGCUUGUCAUCCAUGGUGAUAGGGACAUCACUGAGGAGCGCGUGGUGGAGAAAUUCCUGCGCACGGUGCCAGCCAAGUACUCACAGAUCGUCGUCGCCAUUGAGCAGUUCCUUGAUUUUGAGGCACUGACUCUUGAGGAGGUGACUAGAAGGCUUAAGGCGGUGGACAAUCGCGAAGAACAAGUACUGACCGAGCCGGUGGCCAUCAAUGGCAAGCUAUUGUACACUGAGGAGCAGUGGAAAGCGCGAUGCAGAAAGGAGAAGAAGGGAGACGAUGCAGGUGGCUCUGGUUCCAGGAACCAGCGCGGUGGCGGUGGAUGCAGCCGCGGUGGUGGACGAGGACGAGGCAGAGGAGGUGGACGUGGUGGCGGACGAGGAGACGGCAAUGUUGCUGGCCGUGUCGGCCCCAACACCUGCCUCAACUGCAACCAGGAAGGCCACUGGGCACGUGAGUGUCCGCAACCGCGCCGUGAGGAUGCAGAGCACGGCAGUGGCGGUGGAAACCGUGCUGGUCGCGGCGGUGGCAAUCGUGGUGGAGGUCGCGGCGGUGGCAAUCGUGGUGGAGGUCGCGGCGGCGGAAAUCAGGCUGGACAGCGUGGCGGGAACCAAGGAAGGCAUGAGGCGCGCGUCCAGUACGCCGAAUGUGAAGAAGAUGGUGCUCUGUUUCUGGCACAUGGCUUUAUCAGCCUGGAACAGAGCACGCCGGCGCACAGCUAAACGGCGCAGCACGUCGAGCUCUCUGAGCCACGUGCCUGUGCCUACCUUGGCGUGGAUGAAGAUAUGGACAGCGGUUGGUACCUAGACUCUGGCGCAACACAUCACAUGACCGGACGUCAAGAACUCUUUGCUGAUCUGAACACUGGCGUUCGAGGAACGGUCCGGUUCGGGGAUGCAUCGAAGGUGGAAAUCAAGGGAGUUGGAUCCAUCAUUUUUCAAGCCAAGACUGGUGAGCAGAGAGUUCUUCACGGCGUUUACUACAUUCCAGCGCUGAAGAACUCCAUACUAAGUCUGGGACAGCUUGAUGAAGGAGGGUCCAAGGUUGUUAUUAACCAUGGCGUGCUCCGCAUUUGGGACAAUCAUCACCGAUUGCUGGCCAAGGUACAUCGAGGGAAGAACAGGUUGUACAUUUUGUACCUCGAGGCUGCACAACCUAUCUGUCUCGCGGCGCGCAAGGAUGUUGAGGCAUGGCAGUGGCACGAACGUUUCGGCCAUCUAAACUUCGAUGCACUCCGGCGACUCAGCAAGGAGAAGAUGGCGCGUGGGAUGCCGGUGGUCGAUCAUGUGGACCAGGUAUGUGACACUUGUGUCACCACGAAGCAGAGGCGGCGCUCUUUUCCGGCCGCAGCAGCAUAUCGUGCCCAGAAUCAACUCGAAUUGGUGCACGGUGAUCUGUGCGGCCCAGUCACGCCAGCGACACCGGCGGGCAACCGCUACAUUCUGCUGCUCGUCGAUGAUGCCACCCGUUUUAUGUGGGCUGUGUUGCUGCCAUCCAAGGACGCAGCGGCCGAAGCAAUCAAGAAGAUCAAGGCAGCAGCAGAGGUGGAAAGCGGGCGCAAGUUGAAGGUCCUGCGCACCGACAAUGGCGGGGAAUUCACCGUCGCGGAGUUCGCCGCAUACUGCGCUGAUGAAGGUAUUAAAAGGCAUUUCAGUGCUCCUUAUUCACCGCAACAGAAUGGUGUGGUUGAGCGCAGGAAUCAAACUGUGGUGGCCAUGGCACGAGCUCUGCUCAAGCAACGCCGGAUGCCUUCUCGGUUUUGGGGGGAGGCUGUGAUGACGGCUGUGCACAUUCUGAAUCGAUCUCCAACAAAGGCACUGAAGAAUGUCACUCCGUAUGAGGCAUGGCAUGGCCAGGCACCAACAGUUGGCCAUCUCAAGGUAUUUGGUUGCGUGGCUUAUACCCGGCGGCUUACUCAGCUCCAGAAACUUGAUGAUCGUGGUGAGGCUGGAGUGUUCAUUGGCUAUGCAGAAGGGGCCAAGGCAUAUCGUGUAUUUGAUCCAGUGUCCCAGCGCGUGCGAGUCAGCCGUGAUGUGGUAUUUGAUGAAGGACGUGGCUGGGACUGGGCAUCAGCGGCAGCAGGUACUUUAGAGGCAGCAGGCAGCGAUUUUGUUGUUGAGUUUCCAUGGGCAGAAGAGUUUUCUGAAGCAGAGAGUUCAGUGUUACCCUCACCACCUCUUCAGUCACAUCCUACAUCACCUAGUCUCCCUUUGGUGAGUGCAGGAGAGUCUGCAGCAGAAGCAGAGGAAUCCGCAGUGGAGACAGAGGUGUAUGUGUCGCCUAGAACACCUACACCAGCUCCAGCAAGCCCGCAGAUAGAGCAUGUGACUCCUCUGGAGAAUGAUAGUGAAAGGGUGGAUGCUUAUCAUGAUGGUGAAGAGCUUCGUUAUAGGAAGAUCCAUAAUUUGUCCAGAUCUCUUUGAUCUGGAUUUAUCUCUUCUUCUUAAUAUAUUGAGGCGCAGUUCUCCUGCGUUUUUCCAAAAAAAAUAUUAUUGGUAAUCAGCCAACCCCUUUGCCGGCACAGAGGUUGUUUGCAGAACUGAACCUCACUCAUGCCGGUGAGCCCACAAGCUAUGAAGAGGCCAAAGAUGACCCAGAUUGGCAGGCAGCAAUGAAGGAAGAGCUGAGCUCAGUUGAGCGGAAUGGGACUUGGGAACUUGUUACUCCUAGUCCAGGUCAUCGCCCAAUUUCAUUGAAGUGGGUGUUUAAAUUGAAGAAGGAUGAACAUGGUGCUGUGAUCAGGCACAAGGCAAGACUUGUGGCACGUGGCUUUGUUCAGAAGGAAGGGAUUGACUAUGAAGAUGCCUUUGCACCAGUUGCAAGAAUGGAAUCAGUACGUGUUUUACUUGAUCUAGCAGCACAAGAAGGUUGGGCAGUACAUCACAUGGAUGUGAAGUCUGCAUUUCUGAAUGGAGAACUCAAAGAAGAGGUUUAUGUUACUCAGCCACCAGGCUUUGAAGUAUCAGGAGAAGAGAAGAAAGUGUACAGGUUACACAAGGCAUUGUAUGGCCUAAGACAGGCUCCUCGGGCUUGGAAUGCCAAACUUGAUUUGACUCUCAAGCAAAUGGGUUUUCAGCAGAAUGUAUAUGAGGCUGCCAUGUACAGGAAAGGCUCAGGUGAUUCUUUGCUGGUAAUUGGAGUCUAUGUUGAUGAAUUGAUCAUCACUGGAGUCAAUCAGCAGAAGGUUGAAGUUUUCAAGGCAAAAAUGAAGCAGACAUUCGAAAUGAGUGAUUUGGGUCUGUUGUCUUUCUAUCUUGGGGUUGAGGUAAGACAAUCAGAGGGAAGCAUUACUCUGAAACAGACUCAUUAUGCUAAGAAGAUACUUGAGCUCGGUGGUAUGGCAGACUGUAAUCCAGCCACCACCCCCAUGGAAGAAAGGUUGAAACUGAGCAAGGAAAGUACAGCAAAGGAGGUAAAUCCAACUCAGUAUAGAAGACUAGUUGGUAGCCUGAGAUAUCUAGUGCACACAAGGCCAGAUUUGGCUUUUGUUGUAGGGUAUGUUAGCAGAUUUCUGGAGAAGCCAACAGCUGAACAUCUUCAGGCUGUAAAAAGAAUCUUGAGAUAUGUGGCUGGUACUCUAGAUCAUGGGCUAUGCUAUACUAGAAUGACAGGCAAGGCAAGAUUUGUGGGUUAUAGUGACUCAGACUUGGCUGGAGAUAUUGAUACAAGUAAAAGCACUACUGGAUGUUUGUUUUUCCUUGGAAACAGUCUGGUCAGCUGGCAAUCUAUCAAGCAGAGAGUUGUUGCCUUGUCAAGCUGUGAGGCUGAAUAUGUGGCAAUGACAACAGCUGCAACCCAAGCCUUGUGGUUGUCAAGGCUGUUUGCAGAAUUAUUGGGAAGAGAAGUUGAGGUGGUGGAACCUAGAGUAGACAAUAAAUCUGCUCUAGCUUUGGCAAAGAAUCCUGUUUUCCAUGACAGGAGCAAACAUAUUAGAAUCAAGCAUCACUUCAUCAGGGACUGUGUGGAAGAAGGUAGCAUCAAAACAGAAUUUAUUCCCACUGCAGAUCAGCUUGCUGAUAUACUGACCAAAGCCUUGGGCAAGACCAAGUUGGAAGAUAUGAGAAGCAGAAUUGGGAUCAAGGAGAUCAAGAUCAGUUGAAACAGGCCUUAGGGGGAGAAAUGUUGUUAUUAAGUCCUGUUUCCUAAGCAUGUCUUGUUUCCUAAGCAUUCUCCUAGUUACUUGUGCUAGUUAAUUAUAGUCAUUAAAGACCUUGAGCAGCUCAACAGGUGUGUGCGGCUGCCAAGGCUCCUAUCAGAUUAGCUAAGCUCUAAUGAGCUGUUAUGUAAUCAAUGUGACUCAUCUUUCUAUAUAAUCAAGCAAUGAUAGCUGAGGUUAGUAGUCCCGGCAAAACACUAUGUCUACCUCUAACAUUCGGAAGAUAAGAUGUUAGCAGGAAAGGUUUGAGUAUGGAACUUGUUCAACAAAUAGCCAUAUAACAAAUACUGAGAACCAAGUAGUAGCUUGGUUUGUUAGUACUCCAGUUGAGAUGAUGGCCACUGAGCUCAACCAGAGGAUCACCAACUUGCAGGUACCUCCCUGAGAAAAUGGGAUUCAGUGACUUCAUGGCUAGCAAAGGUUCACCCUACUUGCUGCUAUCCUAUCACAACUCCCACUCAACCGACCUCAUUGCAAGCCCUUCUUUUCCAUUCAUUCCAUCCCACCCCAAAGCCUUUAACUUCAAGGGCACAACUAAAACUGAAUUAAGCACUGUCCCCCUACGGCCCUACCCUAGCAAUGUGCAGGAUGAUUUUGAAAAAACUGGCUGGCCGGGUAUUAUAUGUGGCUAUGUACUUAUGUAGCCCAUCUUUACAAUGAGCUGAGAAUAUUGUUUGUUAAUGCAGUAUAUCAUUGUCAGCUGAGGUAGAAGCCAUGGUGGUGUGUCAUUGUACCAGCUGCUGCAAGCCAAUAUACAAGUACAUCACCAUGUACCACACUUAGAAGUAGUAAUGGAUCAUGAUCCAAAUAUUUCUUCACAAUAAGUUAGGGUCCUUAAUAAAUUUUAGUUCAAAAAUGAAUAGGAAUAGAGCCUGAACCUAAUCCGAGUGGAUCCUUAGAUUUUGUAGUGUAAAAUUUAGAGCUCAUUACCACCCCUAACCACACUUCAAAUUUAUACAUUGUACUAGAUGUGCCUUCAUCCUUUCUCGUUCCUUCAUCUUCGACUCAGUUACUCCGUUAUGUACUUGUUCCCAUCUUGCCAUUUCUACUUUUUCUCCAAGAAUUUCAGAUUUUCUAUUUAGAUGUUUGUAACCAUGAAUUAUUCAACUAACAGAAAAACUUGCAUCUGACAUAUUCUAUAUCGUAAUAUUGCUUCAUCUAAUAUUUAUCGAUUCUGAAUGUUAGGAAGAGGAAAAGCCGAGCAGAUGGACUAAAUAUCUUGCCCCUAGCCUGCUAUAAACUAUCCAUUCUAAAACUCCAUACAUUAUGCUCAUGUAAUUAUGCAAAAAUGGCCAACGGUACUAAUUCGAGUUUUGACAAACAUCUCAAAACUAAGUUUAACAAGGUAAAAUGACAUGAAAAAGAUUGGAAUAGGUUUGCUAUAUAGUGAUUCACAUAUUACUCAUGAGUCAUCAGGACUACACAAGUUAAAAAUAUAUAAAAUCUAAAAACCAGGCAGUAAUACAACCAUAGUUGUUAAGGUGUCCCAUCCCCAAGGCGACGCUUAAGCGUCACCUAGGCGGUAAGCGCGCCGGCGACGUAAGGCGUCCUGCUCGCCUUACGCCUGCACCUAAGGCGAGUGGGAGAGGCCAGUGGUGGCUCCAGCAGCGGCUCCUCCAACAGUGGCGUUGUGGCUCCUCCAGCAUCGGCGCCGCAGCGGCUCCAGAGGCUCCUCCAGCAGCAGCUGGCACAGGAGAGAGGGAGCCAGCUGGAGAGAGAGAAGAAGAGGGAGAGACGCCAGUGGGGAGAGAGGGGGAGGCAGGGUCGCUGGGAGUCGGGAGUGAGGCGGCUAGGUCACUGCCUCGCUGGGAGGGGAGGAGUCAGGAGUGGCGGCUGAGACUGGGAGAAGAUAGAGAGGGAGAGGUCUAGGAGAGAAAAUGGUCUUAACGCUAGUGGGCUUUUGGGCUGAUUUGUAGAUUGGGGGCUAAGUUUUUCUUUUAUCUUUUCCUCGUUUUUAUCCUAAAUACUUUCUCAAAUAUCAAUAUUUUUCUAUUUUUAACUAUAUUUAAGGCAUCGCCUCGCCUUACACCUUAUCGCCUAAAAGGUAAAAGAGGGCCAGUCGCCUUACCUCGCCUUGCCGCCUUAACAACUAUGAAUACAAUUGAUGCAAUACAUCAUUAAGGGAACCAUGCACAGUCCCGUAUAUGUCAGACUUGGACAUGCAAAAAUAUUUCAGUUCUAUGAAACUUAUGCAGAAUAGGUGGCAGACCAUAUCUAGGAAGCAAAACAUGCUAUUGGCAGCUUACCUCCAAGAGCAACACAACAGUGCACCGUAGUAACUUUUCCCACCAAAUAUUAGUUGUUCUUUAGCAAAGUCAAAUACUCUUAAAUGGCCUGCAUAAGAUCAGAUUGUUUUAGUGCAGUAUACAACUUUUCCAACAGCUUACCAUUUUCUGCGUAAAGCUGUCGAUUCUCAUUCUUGGGUAGAGAAAUUUACCAUCACGCCCAACAGUUGCCAAGUAAGCACCAUCCGGUGAAAAGGAAAUGUCAUUGAUUGCACCUUGACAGAUGUGCCACCUUGCAAUUGGAUUGCUCUGCAGUAUAAUUUUAAACCAUAGAAUGAAUCAUAGCAGACGCAACAUUAGGACUCAAUGAUGUUAAAAAAAUCCAAUUAAGGGCAUGCUUAAUUCUCUUGCUCACCCUUGUCUAGCCUUGCCUAGCAAGGUAGAGAAGAAAAACUCAUGAAGCUUUGUUUGGUUUGAAUUUGGGCAAGGUGGGGAUUUCCCUUGCUUUGGAAGGAGUGCUAGAUUGGCUAACCUCGCCUGUGCCUUGCCUAACCUUGCCAAGCAAGGAAAGUGGGCAAGUUUGUUCAAGACAACCAAACAUGCCGUAACUCUCAUAGGUACUUCGCAAAUCUUGUCAUAAAAUCACAGCAAUGAUAAUUGUUUCACACACUUAUAUUAUAUAUUUCCAGUAUGACCUGCUGGAAUGGGUUUAGUACUAUUCGGUAGCUGGUAUUAGCUGAUAAAAAGGUCAGGCCAAGGAUACACAAGUUUAUGCUUUAAUGUCGACUACCAAGAGGCAAGAAUGCAGCCAACGCCAGUGCACACCUUUAAUUUUGUCAGCCUUCAGGUACUUAUGAUAGAUAUUUUGGUAUGUGUCAGCUACAAAGAAAGGGCAAUAGAGUGUUGCAGGAGGUCAAAGCACUUGUCUCCAUAACAAUUUUCCAGAAAAAAAACAUUUUACUAAUACCCUGAAGUAAAUUAUGGAACGUACAUAGCCAUGUCAAUGUAAUUUUUAGUAAAAGAGAUAUCAUGUAGCUUGAGAUACCUUACUCGACUUUGCAUGUGAAAUCAGCACCUGACUUUGAUCCUUUACAGUUGGAAAUGUCCAAUCAGUAUUUCCAUCCUUGCACUGAAUGUAGAAAAGAAAACUUAUCAGCAAAGUAAAUUUAACAAAGUAUGGUUACUUCAUACAAAGUUCCAUGAGCAUUAAGGGCUCACUUUGUCAUACACGUACAGAUUCCCAUCAGCAUGACUAACAACAAAAAUUCCUUCACGCUCUGGAACCCAUGCAACACAAGUGCUCCGACUGCAUAGAUUGGUGUCCAAGCAUCAAUAUAUACUUACAAUUUAAUUACUGUGUAAAGAAAAGCAUUCAUCUACACACAGAAAUAGUAUCUUCUGUUUUAACUUCGGCAUCGUAGUUGCCUUUGAACUAAGAAAAUAAGUUUAAGUAAACUCUACUAAAAAAUGACAAGGGAAAAUCCAUUCAAAUAUCCUAGACAGCAGGCACAGCACAUAAUCAAGAUUAUCAUCCUUCGGUAGUUUAAUCGCCACAACGGUUUCAAUAUAGCAGAUCCCACUAUACAAGUAUGUAUGCAUGCUAACCAAAAUGCUUCCCUUUAGAUCUUACUCAUGACACGGUCUCCCGAAGUAUCCUUUGACCAUUUAUUUAUUAUUUUAUAUUAUAUUGUUCAUACUUAUAAACUUAUGAUAGUUGGAUUGUACAUUUGAUUGCAAAUCUAACGGUGUCAAGUUUGUAUUAUAAUCAAUGUUUUCAGGUUGUCCGACUAAUCAUGAUUAGUUGCUAUUAGUUGGUCUUAUCGGUCCUAUCGAUAAGGCUCCCUAACGUGAUCAGGUCAACUAGAAACCUAGUCAUCUGAUUAGUCGGCGACUAAUCGCGACUAGUCAUCCAAAUAGGGUGGCCGGCUACUAACCUAAUGUGUGAUGUCAUGGGCUCCGAGACCGGACCCUUGAGGAAUUUUAGCCUAGGCCCAUUAGAGUUCAGAUUCAGAUAUACUCUAGUUAGUCUCUUAUCUCAUCCUCUCUCCUCUCUACCCGUGACUCCGAGCGCCUCCUCUCUCCAGCCCGUGCACCACCUAGACCUAGAGACCAUCGGCCGCCGCUUCUUGGACCUAGAGGCAGACUGAUCCGCUGCUGCUUGGACCACUGCCUGGACAGCCACAAAGACUGUCGCCACGGACGACGCUUGGAGAUGAAUUCCUCUUCAGAUGGUAUGGCUCAUUGGCUCUGCUCUGCUCUGCUCUUUGGGUUCUGCCGUGUUGCUCCUAGCUCGAAGUGCUGCUGUAGUGCUACGCGCUGCUGUCAAUUGUCAGGUUGUGCUCUGUUGCUAAGUGGUGCUGUUGUUGAUGAAGCUCUUGGUGCAACUCAGCAUCUAAGAGGGAAGAAUAUGCCAAGGGCUGCUGCUGCUCGUGCUGCCUCUGUGGGUGCUACUGUUAGACAAACAUACACUAGAAGCAUGCAAGGAAUACUAUAGUUGCAGCUCUAGUUAUUGUUGAAGAGGACAAUGAGGAGAUGGAGGAAGAUGAACCAGCAGCACAUGGAGGAGACUUUGAUUAUGAUGAGAUGGAGAAAGAAGCACCUGUUGCAGCUGGGCCAUCUACUGUAGCAGCAGCUGGAGAUGGAAAAGAAGGCUUCCAUUGGAUGAUGAUGUACUUGUUUAGUAGAUGCUUCAAAUCUAAAAUUUAUUAAUAUAAUAUUCUCUUUGUCAUUUAGAUGCAUUUAAACUCUAAUUUGUUGUUGUUCUAGACAUUGAUAUGGUUCGAUUAUGUAAUAUGGAGUUUUAGACCAAUUUACUUGGCUGUUGGCUGCUUGGUCAUAUGGUUUAAUCCUUCUUUACUUGGCGGCUUGGUCAUACGGUUUAAUUACCUGAUUUUGCAUCAUUGCUUGGUUGCUGCGCUGCCACUUCUUACUCAUUUAAUCCUUGUUUCAGAUACAAGAGCUGCAACUCAGCAAGAUUGGAGUGGGACAGCCAAAAUACAAUGAAGCUGUCACUUCACAUCUAACACACUAUGUUCGUCUUCGCUGAUGCAUGCACUACAAGUUGUAAGUCAAGAACUUAGUAUCUUCCAUGCAUAUGGGUUAUCGUUACUUUUGUCAGUAUCUCAGACCGUGUCCAGCAGCUUUUUCAUAUGAUUAUCCAAAACACUGUUUUACAUUGUUUUGCACUGUAGACUGCACUAUUCGCUGAGUAGAGUUUGAAUAUGAAGAUGAGGAUGGAUAAGCUGUUGGAGAUAGUCUCAGCAAAUUCUAACAGAUCGCAGUGUACUGCAUGUCGGCUUGUGUAACUCGUAGGACCACUACCAUAUCAAGAAAUAAAUAUUUAAUACUGGUAAGGUAACGGCAAGACAAAUUUGCCAAGCUUAUUAAGGGGGAAAUUGACAAACACUUUUAGCACAUGUUCGGCUGUGGUAAAAGGCAGCUGUUGCUGCUGCCGUGCUGCGGGCUCCAGCAGCUUCCCGCUCUCUCACAAAAGUACUGUUGCAGCAGCUGCGGCAACAGUUUUUUAUCAUACCCAAACAGCGUGUUAAAUUAAACAGUAAAAAUGAAAACAUG